This 510-nucleotide ribosomal RNA is filed under the name uncultured bacterium. RNAcentral describes it as "partial 16S ribosomal RNA". It matches the Rfam family "Bacterial small subunit ribosomal RNA", at positions 28 to 507 of the family's 1533-position model. The record is from RNAcentral.
GACGAACGCUGGCGGCGUGCUUAACACAUGCAAGUCGAACGAAGAGCGAUGGAAGCUUGCUUCUAUCAAUCUUAGUGGCGAACGGGUGAGUAACGCGUAAUCAACCUGCCCUUCAGAGGGGGACAACAGUUGGAAACGACUGCUAAUACCGCAUACGAUCUAAUCUCGGCAUCGAGGAUAGAUGAAAGGUGGCCCCUACAUGUAAGCUAUCACUGAAGGAGGGGAUUGCGUCUGAUUAGCUAGUUGGAGGGGUAACGGCCCACCAAGGCGAUGAUCAGUAGCCGGUCUGAGAGGAUGAACGGCCACAUUGGGACUGAGACACGGCCCAGACGCCUACGGGAGGCAGCAGUGGGGAAUCUUCCGCAAUGGACGAAAGUCUGACGGAGCAACGCCGCGUGAGUGAUGACGGCCUUCGGGUUGUAAAGCUCUGUUAAUCGGGACGAAAGGCCUUCUUGCGAAUAGUGAGAAGGAUUGACGGUACCGGAAGAGAAAGCCACGGCUAACUACGUG